RNAcentral lists this ribosomal RNA (431 nucleotides) under uncultured Alphaproteobacteria bacterium. RNAcentral describes it as "bacterial SSU rRNA". It matches the Rfam family "Bacterial small subunit ribosomal RNA", at positions 958 to 1385 of the family's 1533-position model. Lineage: Bacteria; Pseudomonadati; Pseudomonadota; Alphaproteobacteria. The record is from RNAcentral.
AACGCGAAGAACCUUACCAGCCCUUGACAUGUCCCGUACGGGGCCGAGAGAUCGGCCUCAUCAGUUCGGCUGGCGGGAACACAGGUGCUGCAUGGCUGUCGUCAGCUCGUGUCGUGAGAUGUUGGGUUAAGUCCCGCAACGAGCGCAACCCUCACCUUCAGUUGCCAUCGGGUUAAGCCGGGCACUCUGAAGGAACUGCCGGUGACAAGCCGGAGGAAGGCGGGGAUGACGUCAAGUCCUCAUGGCCUUUAUGGGCUGGGCUACACACGUGCUACAAUGGCGGUGACAGAGGGAGGCUAAGGGGCGACCCUGCGCCAAUCUCGAAAAGCCGUCUCAGUUCGGAUUGUUCUCUGCAACUCGAGAGCAUGAAGCUGGAAUCGCUAGUAAUCGCGGAUCAGCACGCCGCGGUGAAUACGUUCCCGGGCCUUGUA